UGGCGGCAGGCCUAACACAUGCAAGUCGAGCGGUAACAUUUCUAGCUUGCUAGAAGAUGACGAGCGGCGACGGGUGAGUAACGCGUAGAAAUCUACCUAGUAGUGGGGGAUAGCCCAGAGAAAUUUGGAUUAAUACCGCAUACGCCUACGGGGGAAAGCGGGGGAUCUUCGGACCUCGUGCUAUUAGAUGAGUCUGCGUCGGAUUAGCUUGUUGGUGAGGUAAUGGCUCACCAAGGCGACGAUCCGUAGCUGGUCUGAGAGGAUGACCAGCCACACUGGAACUGAGACACGGUCCAGACUCCUACGGGAGGCAGCAGUGGGGAAUAUUGCACAAUGGGCGCAAGCCUGAUGCAGCCAUGCCGCGUGUGUGAAGAAGGCCUUAGGGUUGUAAAGCACUUUCAGCAGUGAGGAAAGGGGUGUCGUUAAUAGCGCCAUCCUGUGACGUUAACUGCAGAAGAAGGACCGGCUAACUCCGUG
RNAcentral lists this ribosomal RNA (477 nucleotides) under uncultured bacterium. RNAcentral describes it as "bacterial SSU rRNA". It matches the Rfam family "Bacterial small subunit ribosomal RNA", at positions 37 to 507 of the family's 1533-position model. The record is from RNAcentral.